AAUUUUGCUUAGGGAAAAUUGGGAGACACCCAACACAAAAGCAAAUUAUGGUAAUAAAAUCUUCAUUUUCUGUCAUCCUUUGCUGCUCUCUCUUGACAUCCGUCUUUUUCUUAUAUGAAAUAGGCUCUCGUAAACUUACGGUGCUUUCAGAUGGGAACGGACCGAGCAAAGCGGCUGUAAAAAGAAGCCGCUCAAAACGAGCAUCAUCUUGGGCUGGCUACAAUGUACCUCCACCCUCAACUCGCUCACUAACUCGAGAAUGCGGACGUGGUAAAUUACCUUGUCUUCCAAAUCCUAAUGGAAAACAACCAGAUCAAAGCGGAACUUAAAAAAGGAGCCCUUAAUAUAAAAACAAAUUUAUAAGAGGGACUCAAAUUAAAUUAUAAAUAUUUUGAGAAGCCAAAAAAAUGUUAUUUUACCGUUAUAAUUUUACUGUUUUUGAAAGGCCAAAAGUCCCAACCUACUCCAAGCGUCUGCCCCAUAUAAAGUAUUCCAAGCAGUUUUGGAAUAAAUUUACGAUAUACAAGGGUGCACUGUAUGCUAUCGAAUUUUUCUUCUUCUUCUGCUUCUUCAUAUUAAUAUUUUCUCUUUCAAGAA
Gossypium arboreum is the source of this 597-nucleotide long non-coding RNA. RefSeq lists it as uncharacterized. NCBI's taxonomy places the organism in Eukaryota, Viridiplantae, Streptophyta, Magnoliopsida, Malvales, Malvaceae. The transcript is spliced from 2 exons. The record is from RefSeq and is a predicted model, not a curated record.